Molecule: RNA transcript, 2371 nt
Organism: Zingiber officinale
Lineage: Eukaryota; Viridiplantae; Streptophyta; Magnoliopsida; Zingiberales; Zingiberaceae
Exons: 5
Source: RefSeq, a predicted model, not a curated record
GGAGUGGAAAUAAAUAAAUUCUAACCAAAUCGUACACCAAGUUCACAGACGUUGGAAGCCCUUCGUCGAUCCGUCUCCCACUCUGUAACGGCAAUUGGAGCCAAAGCCUCGUCGCCCUUGGACCUGAUUCUGCGCGCAGGAAAAUAACCUAGGGUUUCGCCGUCGUUUAUUCAGCAACCGGGGAGGGGAUCUAGGUCAGGCGAAGAUGGGGAAACGCAAGGUGUUGAACAAGGAUUACCCGCCGGACUUCGAUCCGGCCAAAAUCCCUCGCCGGAAGCAACCCAAGAAUCAGCAGAUUAAAGUUCGGAUGAUGCUUCCGAUGAACAUCCGCUGCAACACCUGCGGCACCUACAUUUAUAAGGGUACGAAGUUCAAUUCACGCAAAGAGGACGUCAUUGGAGAGACAUAUUUGGGGAUCCAACUAUUUAGAUUCUACUUCAAGUGCUCAAGAUGCUCAGCUGAGAUAACAUUCAAGACAGAUCCUCAAAACUCUGAUUACACCGUUGAAUCCGGUGCUUCCCGUAACUUUGAGCCUGGGCGUGAUGAGGAUGAGAGGAAAUUUUCCGCAGAGCCAUCAAUGAAGGUGGAAAAAGCAACAGACUAUUUAACCAAAACUACUAGCACCGAUUAUGCUAAAGAUGGACCAGGGGUACCUCCCCCGGCCUACCCAGCGGUACCACUUGUAGUACCAGCUUCAGUGGUUUCACCAGUUCCCGCGACGAUCCCUACUCACCCUACUGAUAUGGUUGCGGCACGAACUCGGAUCCCAGCUUUGGCAGAGUCGAUGAAGAGCAGAUUCACACUAUUUCGCGGGGAGACUGAUCCGAGUGUAGGUCAGUCUUGGAUAGAGACUUUGGAGCGGACUUUCUCCUAUAUGGCUUGCUCCGAGUGGGAGAAGGCAGAGCUGGCUGUUUACCAUUUACGGGAUGAUGCCGACAUCUGGUGGGAUAUGCAGCGCUCGAUUAUAGGCGAGCAGCACAUCACUUGGGUGAAAUUUAGAGAGGCUUUUGAGAGCCAGUAUGUUCCACGGUCAUAUCAGAUGAAAUGCCGACAAGAUUUUCUGAGUCUUCGGCAGAACAACCGUACGGUGACAGAAUACAAUGCCGAAUUUAAUCGGUUGGCCAGAUUUUGUCCAGAGUUAGUUGCUAAGGACAGGUCUCGUACGCUUCAGUUUGUCCAGGGACUGGAUGGACAUCUGCAAGUAGAGAUUGCCGGUUUUGGUAAUUUAUCUUAUAUAGAGGCAUUGGAUAGAGUCCUUAUGAUUGAGGCGGCUCAGCAGAGAGUGAAUGCCGACAAGAAAAGGAAGCAGACAGAUCGGACUUCAGGACAGACCCAGCAGCCACAGGCUACCAGACAACAACAGAGUGGUUAUAGUCAAUCGGGUCAGGGUACUUUUGGAGCAUCUAGCCGACCUCAUAAAUCAAGGCGGACUUCCUCAGGACGUUUCUGGUCUUCUCAGCAGAACCAGAAACAGUCUUUCAGUGACAUGCACUGCACCCAAUGUGGAUCCAAAGAUCACAUCACAUCAGCCUGUUCCCUGGGACAGUCAGUUUGUUAUUAUUGUAAACUGCCUGGGCACAUGAGCCGAGAUUGCUCACUGAAGGCUCAGCAUGUGGCUUCCGUGAUUUCUAUUCAGGGAGGACAGUUCAGUCAGACAAGGACUCAGCGAGGGGGGCAGAAAGCCCAAUCUUCGCAUCGUUUGCAGAGGACAGCCCCUCCGACAGUAGCUGCAUAUGGCAUGUACAGACAGGAGCCUUCCAAUGCUUACACGGUAUCGCAGGGUUCUGUUUUGGGACCUCAGUAUCAGUCGCAACUUCAGCCACUGGUGCAGUAUCAGCUACAGCCCCAGCCACUGGUCCAGUACCAGUCGCAGCCUCAGCCACUAGUCCAGUAUCAGCUGCAGCCACAGUCAUUAGCUCAGUACCCGACGCAGCCCCAGCCACCGGUCCUGUAUCAGUUGCAGCCCUCAUAUCCAUCUUUGGCUCAGUAUCCAGCACCGCCUCAGUGGCAGGCUCAGACUCUGGCUCAGGCGCAGCAAUCUUUGACAGUACUACCACCUCCACCCCUGCCAGAGACGGGACGAACUCACGUGGUUACCAGAGAGGAUGCACAGCGGACCGACAGAUCAGUUUUCCACGGACAUUGAUUUGAGACGGGCGUCUUGACGUAGGAUUUCUGGUCAUGAUUGACUGAUAAAGGUUGAAGUUGUCAGGAGGUUCCAGUUGCUAGUCCCUUUGCCACAAGGAUUUUCACUUUGGUCUUUUGGUUUUCUGUUUAUUUGCUUAGAGCUAUGUUUCAGACUUGUACUGGUUUUGCACUCUGGAUUUUGUGUGUUUUGUCUUAAGGCAUUGUAAUGGUUGAACUUUUGCUU